UACGGAGGGUGCAAGCGUUAAUCGGAAUUACUGGGCGUAAAGCGUGCGUAGAUGGUUUGUUAAGUCGAAUGUGAAAGCCCCGGGCUCAACCUGGGAACUGCGCUUGAGACUGGCACGCUAGAGUUCGGGAGAGGAUGGUGGAAUUCCCAGUGUAGAGGUGAAAUUCGUAGAUAUUGGGAAGAACACCGAUGGCGAAGGCAGCCAUCUGGACCGACACUGACGCUGAGGCGCGAAAGCGUGGGGAGCAAACAGG
This 253-nucleotide ribosomal RNA is filed under the name uncultured bacterium. Its description in RNAcentral is "partial 16S ribosomal RNA". It matches the Rfam family "Bacterial small subunit ribosomal RNA", at positions 524 to 776 of the family's 1533-position model. The record is from RNAcentral.